AACGGAUUUUUCUUUAUAGCUUGCUAUGAUAACAAUUAGUGGCAGACGGGUGAGUAAUGCAUAGGAAUCUACCUAGUAGUAUGGGAUAGCCACUAGAAAUGGUGGGUAAUACUGUAUAAUCCCUGCGGGGGAAAGAUUUAUCGCUAUUAGAUGAGCCUAUGUUAGAUUAGCUAGUUGGUAGGGUAAAGGCCUACCAAGGCAGUGAUCUAUAGCUGGUCUGAGAGGAUGAUCAGCCACACUGGAACUGAGAUACGGUCCAGACUCCUACGGGAGGCAGCAGUGGGGAAUAUUGGACAAUGGGCGCAAGCCUGAUCCAGCUAUGCCGCGUGAGUGAGGAAGGCCUUAGGGUUGUAAAACUCUUUCAGUGGGGAAGAUAAUGACGGUACCCACAGAAGAAGUCCCGGCAAACUCCGUGCCAGCAGCCGCGGUAAUACGGAGGGGGCAAGCGUUGUUCGGAAUUAUUGGGCGUAAAGGGCAUGUAGGCGGUUCGGUAAGUUAAAGGUGAAAUGCCAGGGCUUAACCCUGGAGCUGCUUUUAAUACUGCC
RNAcentral lists this ribosomal RNA (545 nucleotides) under Anaplasma phagocytophilum. Its description in RNAcentral is "bacterial SSU rRNA". It matches the Rfam family "Bacterial small subunit ribosomal RNA", at positions 65 to 637 of the family's 1533-position model. The record is from RNAcentral. Lineage: Bacteria; Pseudomonadati; Pseudomonadota; Alphaproteobacteria; Rickettsiales; Anaplasmataceae.